GAUGAACGCUGGCGGCGUGCCUAAUACAUGCAAGUCGAGCGAACGGACGAGAAGCUUGCUUCUCUGAUGUUAGCGGCGGACGGGUGAGUAACACGUGGAUAACCUACCUAUAAGACUGGGAUAACUUCGGGAAACCGGAGCUAAUACCGGAUAAUAUUUUGAACCGCAUGGUUCAAAAGUGAAAGACGGUCUUGCUGUCACUUAUAGAUGGAUCCGCGCUGCAUUAGCUAGUUGGUAAGGUAACGGCUUACCAAGGCAACGAUGCAUAGCCGACCUGAGAGGGUGAUCGGCCACACUGGAACUGAGACACGGUCCAGACUCCUACGGGAGGCAGCAGUAGGGAAUCUUCCGCAAUGGGCGAAAGCCUGACGGAGCAACGCCGCGUGAGUGGUGAAGGUUUUCGGAUCGUAAAACUCUGUUAUUAGGGAAGAACAUAUGUGUAAGUAACUGUGCACAUCUUGACGGUACCUAAUCAGAAAGCCACGGCUAACUACGUG
This 497-nucleotide ribosomal RNA is filed under the name uncultured bacterium. Its description in RNAcentral is "partial 16S ribosomal RNA". It matches the Rfam family "Bacterial small subunit ribosomal RNA", at positions 28 to 507 of the family's 1533-position model. The record is from RNAcentral.